RNAcentral lists this ribosomal RNA (497 nucleotides) under uncultured bacterium. Its description in RNAcentral is "partial 16S ribosomal RNA". It matches the Rfam family "Bacterial small subunit ribosomal RNA", at positions 28 to 507 of the family's 1533-position model. The record is from RNAcentral.
GAUGAACGCUGGCGGCGUGCCUAAUACAUGCAAGUCGAGCGAACAGACGAGGAGCUUGCUCCUCUGACGUUAGCGGCGGACGGGUGAGUAACACGUGGAUAACCUACCUAUAAGACUGGGAUAACUUCGGGAAACCGGAGCUAAUACCGGAUAAUAUAUUGAACCGCAUGGUUCAAUAGUGAAAGACGGUUUUGCUGUCACUUAUAGAUGGAUCCGCGCCGCAUUAGCUAGUUGGUAAGGUAACGGCUUACCAAGGCAACGAUGCGUAGCCGACCUGAGAGGGUGAUCGGCCACACUGGAACUGAGACGCGGUCCAGACUACUACGAGAGGCAGCAGUAGGGAAUCUUCCGCAAAGGGCGAAAGCAUGACGGAGCAACGCCGCGUGAGUGAUGAAGGUCUUCGGAUCGUAAAACUCUGUUAUUAAGGAAGAACAAAUGUGUAAGUAACUAUGCACGUCUUGACGGUACCUAAUCAGAAAGCCACGGCUAACUACGUG